Molecule: ribosomal RNA, 309 nt
Filed under: uncultured Enterococcus sp.
Lineage: Bacteria; Bacillati; Bacillota; Bacilli; Lactobacillales; Enterococcaceae
Description: bacterial SSU rRNA
Rfam family: Bacterial small subunit ribosomal RNA
Source: RNAcentral
UCAUGGCUGUCUCAGCUCGUGUCGUGAGAUGUUGGGUUAAGUCCCGCAACGAGCGCAACCCUUAUUGUUAGUUGCCAUCAUUCAGUUGGGCACUCUAGCAAGACUGCCGGUGACAAACCGGAGGAAGGUGGGGAUGACGUCAAAUCAUCAUGCCCCUUAUGACCUGGGCUACACACGUGCUACAAUGGGAAGUACAACGAGUUGCGAAGUCGCGAGGCUAAGCUAAUCUCUUAAAGCUUCUCUCAGUUCGGAUUGCAGGCUGCAACUCGCCUGCAUGAAGCCGGAAUCGCUAGUAAUCGCGGAUCAGCA